AGGAUGAACGCUGGCGGUGUGCCUAAUACAUGCAAGUCGAGCGGCAACACGGUCUUCGGACUGGUGGCGAGCGGCGGACGGCUGAGUAACGCGUGGGAACGUACCCCAAAGUGAGGGAUAAGCACCAGAAAUGGUGUCUAAUACCGCAUAUGCUCUAAGGAGUAAAGCUUCGGCGCUUUGGGAACGGCCUGCGUCUGAUUAGCUUGUUGGUGAGGUAAUAGCUCACCAAGGCGACGAUCGGUAGCUGGUCUGAGAGGAUGACCAGCCAGACUGGGACUGAGAACGGCCCAGACUCCUACGGGAGGCAGCAGUAGGGAAUUUUCCACAAUGGGCGAAAGCCUGAUGGAGCAACACCGCGUGCAGGAUGAAGGCCUUCGGGUCGUAAACUGCUUUUAUGUAUGACGAUUAUGACGGUAGUACAUGAAUAAGGAUCGGCUAACUCCGUGCCAGCAGCC
Molecule: ribosomal RNA, 455 nt
Filed under: uncultured bacterium
Lineage: Bacteria
Description: SSU rRNA
Rfam family: Bacterial small subunit ribosomal RNA
Source: RNAcentral